Molecule: ribosomal RNA, 332 nt
Filed under: Martinezella tropici
Lineage: Bacteria; Pseudomonadati; Pseudomonadota; Alphaproteobacteria; Hyphomicrobiales; Rhizobiaceae
Description: Rhizobium tropici partial 16S ribosomal RNA
Rfam family: Bacterial small subunit ribosomal RNA
Source: RNAcentral
AGGCUUAACACAUGCAAGUCGAGCGCCCCUCCUUCAAGCAAGCUUGAAGGAUUUACUCCUUGGAAAAGAAGAUCAAGAGCGCUUCUAAGAAGCUUUCUUGAUGGAGGGGAGCGGCAGACGGGUGAGUAACGCGUGGGAAUCUACCCUUUUCUACGGAAUAACGCAGGGAAACUUGUGCUAAUACCGUAUGUGUCCUUCGGGAGAAAGAUUUAUCGGGAAAGGAUGAGCCCGCGUUGGAUUAGCUAGUUGGUGGGGUAAAGGCCUACCAAGGCGACGAUCCAUAGCUGGUCUGAGAGGAUGAUCAGCCACAUUGGGACUGAGACACGGCCCAA